This 443-nucleotide ribosomal RNA is filed under the name uncultured bacterium. RNAcentral describes it as "partial 16S ribosomal RNA". It matches the Rfam family "Bacterial small subunit ribosomal RNA", at positions 338 to 795 of the family's 1533-position model. The record is from RNAcentral.
CCUACGGGAGGCUGCAGUGGGGAAUAUUGGGCAAUGGGCGCAAGCCUGACCCAGCAACGCCGCGUGAAGGAAGAAGGCUUUCGGGUUGUAAACUUCUUUUCUCAGGGACGAAGCAAGUGACGGUACCUGAGGAAUCAGCCACGGCCAACUACGUGCCAGCCGCCGCGGUAAGACGUAGGUGGCAAGCGUUAUCCGGAUUUACUGGGUGGAAAGGGCGUGUAGGCGGGAGAGCAAGUCAGAUGUGAAAACCAUGGGAUCAACCUUUGGCCUGCAUUUGAAACUGUUUUGCUUGAGUACUGGAGAGGUAGACGGAAUUCCUAGUGUAGCGGUGAAAUGCGUAGAUAUUAGGAGGAACACCAGUGGCGAAGGCGGUCUGCUGGACAGCAACUGACGCUGAGGCGCGAAAGCGUGGGGAGCAAACAGGAUUAGAUACCCUAGUAGUC